This 670-nucleotide ribosomal RNA is filed under the name Pseudosperma cf. flavellum EL-2010a. RNAcentral's name for it is "partial small subunit ribosomal RNA". It matches the Rfam family "Bacterial small subunit ribosomal RNA", at positions 358 to 942 of the family's 1533-position model. Lineage: Eukaryota; Fungi; Basidiomycota; Agaricomycetes; Agaricales; Inocybaceae. The record is from RNAcentral.
AGAAUNUUAGUCAAUGCUCCAGAUGUGAACUAGCUAUCUGAAAUCACACAAACACAAAUGGUGCUUAUUGUGAUCACGUAUGUCAAAAAAUGAUAUCACCUUACUAAUAGUGUUGUCUAAAUAACUGGUGCCAGAAGACUCGGUAACACCAGAAACGCGAACGUUAGUCGUCUUAAACAGGCGUAAAGGGUAAGUAGGCUGCUUUAAACGUCUAAUUUUAAAAAAGCUAAUUAAUAAUUAAACCUAAACUUUUUCAGACCUUAAUUUAAAAUUUAAGGCUAACUAAAAAUGAAAAAAGGAAAAAAUUAGCAAGCUUUGCUAGUUCUAAUUAUUAUAAUUAUUAAAUUAAAAAAAUAGAUACACUUAAAGCUAGAAUCAUAAUUGAGAUAAACCAAAUAAUACUUAUGUGUAAGGGCGAUAUCUGAAAAUACUAAGUAGAAUACUAACGGUGAAAACUUUUUAUCUAGUAAUGAUUGACGCUGAGGUACGAAAGUGAGAACAGGGAAUAGGAUUAGAUACCCAGUUACCUCUCACCGUCAACGAUGAAUGGUAGUUGUUAGUUUAAUUAAAUUAGUGACGAUGUUAACGCGAUACCAUUCCGCCUUGAGAGUACUGUUGCAAAACUGAAACCAAAAAAUUAGUCUGUCUCGGAGCAAACGGAGUGAAGCAU